CUCUCUAGCUAUGUUGAGAGUGCGGCAUACGGCUCAAUAACACGUAGUUAACCUAUCCUUAGGAUGAGGAUAAACCCGGGAAACUGGGCCUAAUACUCAAUAGGCGGAUAUACCUGGAAUGGCUUUCCACUAAAAAGGUGUCAGAAACAUGCUUCUGAUGUCGCCUAAGGAUGGGACUGCGUCCGAUCAGGUUGUUGGUGGGGUAACGGCCUACCAAGCCUAUAACCGGUACGGGCCCUGAGAGGGGGAGCCCGGAGAUGGGAACUGAGACAAGGUCCCAGGUCCUACGGGGCGCAGCAGGCGCGAAACCUCCACAAUGCACAAAAGUGUGAUGGGGUUAUCCCGAGUGCUAUCCGUUGAGGAUGGCUUUUGCUCAGUGUAAGGGACUGGGAGAAUAAAGGGGGGGCAAGUCUGGUGUCAGCCGCCGCGGUAAUACCAGCCCCCUGAGUGGUAAGGACGAUUAUUUGGCCUAAAGCGUCCGUAGCUUGUUCGGUAAGUCUUUCGUUAAAUCUAACGAUUCAAUCGUUAGUCUGCGUAAGAUACUGCUGGGCUAGAGGAUGGGAGAGGUCGACGGUAGUCCUGGGGUAGGAGUGAAAUCCUAUAAUCCUAGGAGGACCACCAGUGGCGAAGGCGGUCGACUAGAACAUGCCUGACGGUGAGGGACGAAAGCUGGGGGAGCGAACCGGAUUAGACACCCGGGUAGUCCC
This 707-nucleotide ribosomal RNA is filed under the name uncultured marine archaeon. RNAcentral describes it as "bacterial SSU rRNA". It matches the Rfam family "Archaeal small subunit ribosomal RNA", at positions 55 to 748 of the family's 1478-position model. The record is from RNAcentral.